UGCGUGUUUCGCGAGGAGGAUCAGAGGAGGAGAAAGCAAGCGAAUCACUGCCCAAGUGUGUCACCCUCAUUCAGGUGUCAUGAAGGGCCUGGAAUUGUAGAAUGGUUGAGGAUCCAGGUGUGACAGCUGAGGCUCCAGAAAAUGGGAAUGCAACUAAACCAACCCAGAGGAGAGGCUACUUUUUCAGCACUAAAGGUGACUCACAAGCAGCAUAACUCUGGGAAAGUUAAAAGUGGUAAUUCAACAAGACUCAAGGAUUGUGUGGGACUCAAAAGGAUAAAAUAACCAUGCAGGGAGCUCUUCCUCCAUGUCCUGGUGAUGAAUGAAACUGGAAAGCCAGAUCAGUUCAGAGAUGCUGAAAAAUAUGAUCACACCUUCAUGAGCACCCAGGUCACACAGGACACUUGGAGGAUAAUGGUGAAGAAAGCAGAAUGCAAAUUUUCUGUGGUUCAUCCCAGAAUCUGAAUCUCUCAGCUGAAAUGUGGCCCAGCAUGAGGAAGAGCAGAGAAUUUGGAUGAGCUUCUCUAUGUUUUAG
RNAcentral lists this long non-coding RNA (535 nucleotides) under Zonotrichia albicollis (white-throated sparrow). RNAcentral describes it as "lncRNA (ENSZALG00000004489.1)". Lineage: Eukaryota; Metazoa; Chordata; Aves; Passeriformes; Passerellidae. The record is from RNAcentral.